This 460-nucleotide ribosomal RNA is filed under the name uncultured bacterium. RNAcentral describes it as "partial 16S ribosomal RNA". It matches the Rfam family "Bacterial small subunit ribosomal RNA", at positions 338 to 795 of the family's 1533-position model. The record is from RNAcentral.
CCUACGGGAGGCAGCAGUGAGGAAUAUUGGUCAAUGGACGAGAGUCUGAACCAGCCAAGUAGCGUGAAGGAUGACUGCCCUAUGGGUUGUAAACUUCUUUUAUAUGGGAAUAAAAUGUUCCACGUGUGGGAUUUUGUAUGUACCAUAUGAAUAAGGAUCGGCUAACUCCGUGCCAGCAGCCGCGGUAAUACGGAGGAUCCGAGCGUUACCCGGAUUUAUUGGGUUUAAAGGGAGCGUAGGUGGAUUGUUAAGUCAGUUGUGAAAGUUUGCGGCUCAACCGUAAAAUUGCAGUUGAAACUGGCAGUCUUGAGUACAGUAGAGGUGGGCGGAAUUCGUGGUGUAGCGGUGAAAUGCUUAGAUAUCACGAAGAACUCCGAUUGCGAAGGCAGUUCACUGGACUGCAACUGACACUGAGGCUCGAAAGUGUGGGUAUCAAACAGGAUUAGAUACCCCUGUAGUC